Xiphophorus couchianus (Monterrey platyfish) is the source of this 536-nucleotide long non-coding RNA. RefSeq lists it as uncharacterized. The transcript is spliced from 3 exons. Lineage: Eukaryota; Metazoa; Chordata; Actinopteri; Cyprinodontiformes; Poeciliidae. The record is from RefSeq and is a predicted model, not a curated record.
CUAGCCAAACAACUAGGUGUAGCACGAGGUGUUGGGUGGUUGACCUAACAUUAAAACUGUAAGAAAGGCCAUUUGAGUUAACAUUAUUUAGCUGCGGAGUCGUUUUCUUGAAGUUUUUGGCUUUAGACGGCAUAAUGGGAAGAGUGGCUGUGCUGGAGCAGUGGGUUGAUCUGUGCGAUCAAAGUUAAGCCAAAAUGUUUCUGUCUCUAUACAUACAAUAAAUUAUGACAUAUUUACUGCCUUUUUUCCUUCAUUAGUACGUCAUGUUGGUGACUGAAGCCUGUUAUGAUGACUUCAACACAUUUCUUCAGAAAGAUUGGCACCAUUUUUAAUGCUUUCUAGAAUGUCUCUGUGGUGAAAAAUGCUCUCCAGGUUAAACCGGGUGGACAGUAUUUUGAAUGAAUAUGAUAGUGACACACACAGGCUGGUAAAAACAGGCUUUCUUCUGUUGGUUCAUGUGCUUCUUCCUACGUCCAAAGGCCACAAGAAGAUUUAAAAAAGGCUCAUGUCAAACUGUGGAUCAUGUCAGAUAUGUG